AGAUAUGAGGGCAAUCUGGCUGUGACAUCUGUCACCCCUUGAUUGCCAGGGUUGAUUCGGCUGAUCUGGCUGGCAAGGGAGGUGUUCCCUUCCUCCUCACUGCUCCAUCUGUGUCCUUCCUGAGGCCAUAUGCUUGGUCAAAGGGUAUGAUCGAGCCCAAUGGAGCAGACCCACUUCCUCACCAAUAUUAUAUGAGUAAUAGUGCUCCUCUGCUAGAAGCCCAAAUUAAGCUAUCAAAUGUGCACCUAUUUCCCCCUCCUCUCUUCUCAUAUCCAGACUUGUGGACACAGAUAUGUAAUGGACAUUACAAAUUUCAAAAACAUAACUUGCCACCAAAACAAUCAAUACUUU
Molecule: unclassified non-coding RNA, 351 nt
Organism: Cavia porcellus (domestic guinea pig)
Lineage: Eukaryota; Metazoa; Chordata; Mammalia; Rodentia; Caviidae
Gene: 7SK
Rfam family: 7SK RNA
About the family: 7SK was discovered as an abundant small nuclear RNA in the mid-70s but a possible function has only recently been suggested.
Source: Ensembl